Apaloderma vittatum (bar-tailed trogon) is the source of this 74-nucleotide non-coding RNA. The record is from Rfam. Lineage: Eukaryota; Metazoa; Chordata; Aves; Trogoniformes; Trogonidae.
GGACUGGUUAGCUCAGUCAGUAGAGCAUAGCACUAAGAACACUAAGGUCACAGGUUCAAUUCCCGUUCGGUCCC